Long non-coding RNA from Macrobrachium nipponense, 841 nucleotides. RefSeq lists it as uncharacterized. NCBI's taxonomy places the organism in Eukaryota, Metazoa, Arthropoda, Malacostraca, Decapoda, Palaemonidae. The record is from RefSeq and is a predicted model, not a curated record. The transcript has 3 exons.
CUGGAAACUUCCCUUGUGCUAUGGAUGAACUUGAUGGUAGUCGUGUCCGCCCGAGGAAGACCUGGUUCACUGGUGCCAUGGUGCUCCAGGUACAAUAUAUCUCUUAGCAAAAGCCUAUAUGAUAUAUAAGGACAAGAAAUAUUUAGACUCUUGUUUGAAAUGUGGUGAAAUCACAUGGCAUAAAGGACUGUUGAGAAAGGGUCCAGGGAUUUGUCAUGGAGUUGCAGGCAGUGGCUACGUUUUUCUAACUCUUUAUCGACUCACUGGAGACAAAAUGCAUCUUCACAGAGCGCUGCAAUUCUCCAGUUUCCUUUAUUCCAAGGAAUUUGUGAAAGCUCGGACACCUGACAGCCCCUACAGUUUGUAUGAAGGUUUAUCUGGCACUGUAUGUUUUAUUGCAGAUCUUGUGGAUCCACAGCACUCUUCAUUCCCUCUUUUCAAUAUUUUUUAAAGGUGUCCUUCCUUUUAUUUAUUUGAAUCUGACUGUAUAUGUAAAUAGGGCAGUUUUUGUACCAUGAAAGUCUGUUAGCCAUGUAUGUUACUUUUUGAUAUUGCAAUAUUUUUUCUUGUAAAUGUGAUCCAUAUUACACAUUACUGCACUCAAGACUUAAUAGCCCCAAAUGCUUUGUUUAAAGCCCCUAACAGUUCUAGCAUAUUUGUUACACACCUAGAAAAUUCAAGAUAGUACUUCCCAUCAGCAGCAUACCUGCAUAUCCUCCAUAGUUUUCAUCCAAUUUAUUUUCCUCAAGUUGAGAUUAGACGGAGCUGUAGCAUAAUUCUGGAUUUAUAUAAUUUUGUGUUCAAAUAAAUGUGACAAGGGUCAAUUCUUGCAUAUUGUAAA